AAACCCUCAAGCUCUGCUUGGUGUUGGGCACUUGUCGCGCACCUCGCGCCGACUUGCCCCAAAUCCAUUGGCAGCUACCCUUGCCGGACUCUAGCGCAGCACUAUGCGUGUCGAGGCUCGGCCCGCGGCGGCAUCCACGGCUCCAAAACCUUA
Molecule: unclassified non-coding RNA, 153 nt
Filed under: uncultured fungus
Lineage: Eukaryota; Fungi
Description: sequence contains ITS2
Source: RNAcentral